Odocoileus virginianus texanus is the source of this 337-nucleotide long non-coding RNA. RefSeq lists it as uncharacterized. The record is from RefSeq and is a predicted model, not a curated record. NCBI's taxonomy places the organism in Eukaryota, Metazoa, Chordata, Mammalia, Artiodactyla, Cervidae.
CUUAUGUCCAUAUUCUACUUCCAUGUUAAAAAACAUGGAAGGAUUAACACCAUCAACCUUCAAUACUAGGGGACACCUGCCCACCAUGGCAUAUACCUCUGUUAUGAUCGUGUGAUACUGGUGGUUUCCAGCAAGAAGCAGCAAGAGAACCCUCAAAAAGUGCUCUUCAUUUCCAAGACACAGCUCAGUCUUCAGUCAGGAAGUAUGUCUUACCAUGCAAACCCUACUGAUGGUGGAGUGGAAGACAUUGAGUCAAAGAAAUGAAGUUUCAUCCCCAUACCACCUAGCUUCCUUCCCAUGGAGAAUGACAUUGUGAAUCCCAAAUAAAGUCUGCAGU